UACGGGGGGGGCAAGCGUUGUUCGGAAUUACUGGGCGUAAAGGGCUCGUAGGUGGCCAACUAAGUCGGACGUGAAAUCCCUCGGCUUAACCGGGGAACUGCGUCCGAUACUGGUUGGCUUGAGUUUGGGAGAGGGAUGCGGAAUUCCAGGUGUAGCGGUGAAAUGCGUAGAUAUCAGGAGGAACACCGGUGGCGAAGGCGGGAUCCUGGGCCAGUACUGACGCUGAGGAGCGAAAGCGUGGGGAGCAAACAGG
RNAcentral lists this ribosomal RNA (253 nucleotides) under uncultured bacterium. RNAcentral describes it as "partial 16S ribosomal RNA". It matches the Rfam family "Bacterial small subunit ribosomal RNA", at positions 524 to 776 of the family's 1533-position model. The record is from RNAcentral.